UGGGGAAUAUUGGACAAUGGGCGAAAGCCUGAUCCAGCCAUGCCGCGUGUGUGAAGAAGGUCUUCGGAUUGUAAAGCACUUUAAGUUGGGAGGAAGGGCAUUAACCUAAUACGUUAGUGUUUUGACGUUACCGACAGAAUAAGCACCGGCUAACUCUGUGCCAGCAGCCGCGGUAAUACAGAGGGUGCAAGCGUUAAUCGGAAUUACUGGGCGUAAAGCGCGCGUAGGUGGUUUGUUAAGUUGGAUGUGAAAGCCCCGGGCUCAACCUGGGAACUGCAUCCAAAACUGGCAAGCUAGAGUACGGUAGAGGGUGGUGGAAUUUCCUGUGUAGCGGUGAAAUGCGUAGAUGUAGGAAGGAACACCAGUGGCGAAGGCGACCACCUGGCCUGAUACUGACACUGAGGUGCGAAAGCGUGGGGAGCAAACA
Molecule: ribosomal RNA, 427 nt
Filed under: uncultured bacterium
Lineage: Bacteria
Description: partial 16S ribosomal RNA
Rfam family: Bacterial small subunit ribosomal RNA
Source: RNAcentral